AUUGAACGCUGGCGGCAGGCCUAACACAUGCAAGUCGAGCGAGCGGCGGACGGGUGAGUAAUGUCUGGGAAACUGCCUUAUGGAGGGGGAUAAAUACUGGAAACGGUAGCUAAUACCGCAUACCAUCAGAUGUGCCCAGAUGGGAUUAGCUAGUAGGUGGGGUAACGGCUCACCUAGGCGACGAUCCCUCGCUGGUCUGGGAGGAUGACCAGCCAAACUGGAACUGAGACACGGUCCAGACUCCUACGGAAGGCAGCAGUGGGGAAUAUUGCACAAUGGGCGCAAGCCUGAUGCGGCCAUGCCGCGUGUGUGAAGAAGGCCUUCGGUUGGUAAAGCACUUUCAUCGGGGAGGCGUUACCCGAAGAAGAAGCACCGGCUAACUCCGUGCCAGCAGCCGCGGUAAUAC
Molecule: ribosomal RNA, 406 nt
Filed under: uncultured bacterium
Lineage: Bacteria
Description: partial 16S ribosomal RNA
Rfam family: Bacterial small subunit ribosomal RNA
Source: RNAcentral